UAUUUAAUUUUAAAUGUUGGUUUUUCUAAAAUUUAGAAGAUUAAAAGGGAAAUUGGAUUUAAAGACAAUGCUGUUCCCGCAACUGUAUGCUAUUACCGAUUUAGNNUUUUUCUAUAAACUCAAUGCCACUGAUUUUUUUUGGGAAGGCGAAUAGNAAAAUGCAAGCCAGGAGACCUGCCANUNAGGANUGUAUGAU
RNAcentral lists this non-coding RNA (196 nucleotides) under Flavobacteriaceae bacterium. Lineage: Bacteria; Pseudomonadati; Bacteroidota; Flavobacteriia; Flavobacteriales; Flavobacteriaceae. The record is from RNAcentral.